CACGUAGGGUGCGAGCGUUGUCCGGAAUUAUUGGGCGUAAAGAGCUCGUAAGCGGUGUGUCGCGUCGGCCGUGAAAACCUGCAGCUUAACUGUGGGCUUGCGGUCGAUACGGGCAUCACUGGAGUUCGGCAGGGGAGACUGGAAUUCCUGGUGUAGCGGUGAAAUGCGCAGAUAUCAGGAGGAACACCGGUGGCGAAGGCGGGUCUCUGGGCCGAUACUGACGCUGAGGAGCGAAAGCGUGGGGAGCGAACAGG
This 254-nucleotide ribosomal RNA is filed under the name uncultured bacterium. Its description in RNAcentral is "partial 16S ribosomal RNA". It matches the Rfam family "Bacterial small subunit ribosomal RNA", at positions 524 to 776 of the family's 1533-position model. The record is from RNAcentral.